GAACUUGGAUGGUCAAGGCUCUCAGCAAGCAGAAGAACAUAUAUCCUCUAUUUUUACAGAAAAUAUUUCACUGCAAAAUAAAGCUGGUAAUGUACCGGAUGAAACCAUCAAUACUGUUUCAGAGGUUUCAAGUUUUAAACAGAUAAAGAGAAGGGUUAAACAAUUCCCUGCCAAGGAUGAAACAGUCAAAGUUGAUGCUGAAAUUAUCACAACAAAAGAGAAACUCUCAACUAAAACGGCUGAAGUCUCAGUUACCAUACCUCAAGCUGAACCCUGGACAAUUCUUGCUCACAAGAAGCCUCAGAAAUGUUGGAUUCCAUAUAAUCCCAGAACCAUGAGGCUCUGCCUCUUGCUGAGGAUGCAAAGUUUGUGAAGCUAAUGUCUUGGAAUGUCAAUGGGUUAAAAGCAUUGUUAAAGUCAGAGGGAUUCUCUGCUGUUGAACUUGCCCAA
Molecule: unclassified non-coding RNA, 450 nt
Filed under: Hevea brasiliensis (rubber tree)
Lineage: Eukaryota; Viridiplantae; Streptophyta; Magnoliopsida; Malpighiales; Euphorbiaceae
Source: RNAcentral